UGGGGAAUAUUGCACAAUGGGCGGAAGCCUGAUGCAGCAACGCCGCGUGAGCGAUGAAGGCCUUCGGGUCGUAAAGCUCUGUCCUCAAGGAAGAUAAUGACGGUACUUGAGGAGGAAGCCCCGGCUAACUACGUGCCAGCAGCCGCGGUAAUACGUAGGGGGCUAGCGUUAUCCGGAAUUACUGGGCGUAAAGGGGGCGUAGGUGGUUUCUUAAGUCAGAGGUGAAAGGCUACGGCUCAACCGUAGUAAGCCUUUGAAACUGGGAAACUUGAGUGCAGGAGAGGAGAGUGGAAUUCCGAGUGUAGCGGUGAAAGGCGUAGAUAUUAGGAGGAAUACCAGUUGCGAAGGCGGCUCUCUGGACUGUAACUGACACUGAGGCACGAAAGCGUGGGGAGCAAACA
This 401-nucleotide ribosomal RNA is filed under the name uncultured prokaryote. RNAcentral describes it as "bacterial SSU rRNA". It matches the Rfam family "Bacterial small subunit ribosomal RNA", at positions 355 to 774 of the family's 1533-position model. The record is from RNAcentral.